AGCGGAUCUAGAUAAAUAGGUAAUAUCAUUAACCUUCCAAGUUAAAAUUUAUGGGUUCAAAUCCCAUGAUCCGCUA
Molecule: transfer RNA, 76 nt
Filed under: Neogoniolithon spectabile
Lineage: Eukaryota; Rhodophyta; Florideophyceae; Corallinales; Spongitidaceae
Description: tRNA-Gly
Rfam family: tRNA
About the family: Transfer RNA (tRNA) molecules are approximately 80 nucleotides in length.
Source: RNAcentral